RNAcentral lists this transfer RNA (73 nucleotides) under Apis mellifera (honey bee). RNAcentral's name for it is "tRNA-Ala (GGC) (tRNA-Ala-GGC-1-1)". It matches the Rfam family "tRNA". From Rfam's summary of the family: Transfer RNA (tRNA) molecules are approximately 80 nucleotides in length. Their secondary structure includes four short double-helical elements and three loops (D, anti-codon, and T loops). Further hydrogen bonds mediate the characteristic L-shaped molecular structure. tRNAs have two regions of fundamental functional importance: the anti-codon, which is responsible for specific mRNA codon recognition, and the 3' end, to which the tRNAs corresponding amino acid is attached (by aminoacyl-tRNA synthetases). tRNAs cope with the degeneracy of the genetic code in two manners: having more than one tRNA (with a specific anti-codon) for a particular amino acid; and 'wobble' base-pairing, i.e. permitting non-standard base-pairing at the 3rd anti-codon position. Lineage: Eukaryota; Metazoa; Arthropoda; Insecta; Hymenoptera; Apidae. The record is from RNAcentral.
GCCCUGGAUAGCUUAAUGGUUAAAGCAGUCGCCUGGCAAGCGAAAGAUCCGGGUUCGAUUCCCGGUCCAGGCA